RNAcentral lists this ribosomal RNA (465 nucleotides) under uncultured Klebsiella sp. RNAcentral describes it as "bacterial SSU rRNA". It matches the Rfam family "Bacterial small subunit ribosomal RNA", at positions 338 to 795 of the family's 1533-position model. Lineage: Bacteria; Pseudomonadati; Pseudomonadota; Gammaproteobacteria; Enterobacterales; Enterobacteriaceae. The record is from RNAcentral.
CCUACGGGAGGCUGCAGUGGGGAAUAUUGCACAAUGGGCGCAAGCCUGAUGCAGCCAUGCCGCGUGUGUGAAGAAGGCCUUCGGGUUGUAAAGCACUUUCAGCGGGGAGGAAGGCGUUAAGGUUAAUAACCUUGGCGAUUGACGUUACCCGCAGAAGAAGCACCGGCUAACUCCGUGCCAGCAGCCGCCGUAAUACGGAGGGUGCAAGCGUUAAUCGGAAUUACUGGGCGUAAAGCGCACGCAGGCGGUCUGUCAAGUCGGAUGUGAAAUCCCCGGGCUCAACCUGGGAACUGCAUUCGAAACUGGCAGGCUAGAGUCUUGUAGAGGGGGGUAGAAUUCCAGGUGUAGCGGUGAAAUGCGUAGAGAUCUGGAGGAAUACCGGUGGCGAAGGCGGCCCCCUGGACAAAGACUGACGCUCAGGUGCGAAAGCGUGGGGAGCAAACAGGAUUAGAUACCCUGGUAGUC